GUUUGUUUGGUUGGUGAGUUUUUUUUUUUUAAUUAUAAUGUUUCUGGGGCAAUGUAAAAUUCAUAUUAAUAUACCAUUGUGUUUUCCAGAAUUUUCCCUCAAGAGAAAUGUGUAAUAUUUCACAUCAUAAGUACUUUUUUGACAUCAUUAGUCAACAAGGAGAAUAUUCAAAGCAUAUUACUCUAAUUUAGUUGCCUCUGUCCUCCUUUGAUCAUAUUGGAGAGGUUCUUGCUGCCAUUUUGUGGACUUCAAAGGCAAUCAGGCCGUUAAAGUCUCUACCAUCUCCUGCUGAGCAAACCAGAAGUGUCCAAACAGACCUUGACCCUUAAAAUCUUCAGUGGAGCCUGUUUGAAUCAGUCCUGUAAAGGAAGGUAAAGAUGAAUGAAGAGAAAGCAAGCUGCACAGGAGAUGGCUGGAGGAAAGAUCCAAACUGUAUUCUGCCCACAAGAGCACAAAUGACAAGUAAACGACUUUGGUAGCUAAAGGACACCAAUAUCCUCUAAGUAGGGCAAGUCUGGGUCAGUCACCUGCCUGAUGACAAUUUGUGUGAAUGAUCCCAUUGUGGACGCUGGAUGUUUUAAUCAGGUGGUACAGUUUCUUCAUUGGGGCAUCUCAGCCUGGCUUGUUAACCUGCAGCAGGAGGAGUCUCUGCACGCCAAGGCAGUUCAACAGAUCUGGAAAGCCCAACAUCUUUGGCUGAGUUAAUAAUGACAUGAAGUA
Long non-coding RNA from Oreochromis niloticus (Nile tilapia), 720 nucleotides. RefSeq lists it as uncharacterized. The transcript has 3 exons. The record is from RefSeq and is a predicted model, not a curated record. Lineage: Eukaryota; Metazoa; Chordata; Actinopteri; Cichliformes; Cichlidae.